RNAcentral lists this ribosomal RNA (2214 nucleotides) under Shigella flexneri 1235-66. RNAcentral's name for it is "bacterial LSU rRNA". It matches the Rfam family "Bacterial large subunit ribosomal RNA", at positions 14 to 2250 of the family's 2925-position model. The record is from RNAcentral. Lineage: Bacteria; Pseudomonadati; Pseudomonadota; Gammaproteobacteria; Enterobacterales; Enterobacteriaceae.
AGCGUACACGGUGGAUGCCCUGGCAGUCAGAGGCGAUGAAGGACGUGCUAAUCUGCGAUAAGCGUCGGUAAGGUGAUAUGAACCGUUAUAACCGGCGAUUUCCGAAUGGGGAAACCCAGUGUGAUUCGUCACACUAUCAUUACGUGAAUACAUAGCGUAAUGAAGCGAACCGGGGGAACUGAAACAUCUAAGUACCCCGAGGAAAAGAAAUCAACCGAGAUUCCCCCAGUAGCGGCGAGCGAACGGGGAGCAGCCCAGAGUCUGAAUCAGCUUGUGUGUUAGUGGAACGGUCUGGAAAGUCCGACGGUACAGGGUGAUAGUCCCGUACACCAAAAUGCACAGGCUGUGAACUCGAAGAGUAGGGCGGGACACGUGGUAUCCUGUCUGAAUAUGGGGGGACCAUCCUCCAAGGCUAAAUACUCCUGACUGACCGAUAGUGAACCAGUACCGUGAGGGAAAGGCGAAAAGAACCCCGGCGAGGGGAGUGAAAAAGAACCUGAAACCGUGUACGUACAAGCAGUGGGAGCCUCUUUAUGGGGUGACUGCGUACCUUUUGUAUAAUGGGUCAGCGACUUAUAUUCUGUAGCAAGGUUAACCGAAUAGGGGAGCCGAAGGGAAACCGAGUCUUAACUGGGCGUUAAGUUGCAGGGUAUAGACCCGAAACCCGGUGAUCUAGCCAUGGGCAGGUUGAAGGUUGGGUAACACUAACUGGAGGACCGAACCGACUAAUGUUGAAAAUUAGCGGAUGACUUGUGGCUGGGGGUGAAAGGCCAAUCAAACCGGGAGAUAGCUGGUUCUCCCCGAAAGCUAUUUAGGUAGCGCCUCGUGAACUCAUCUUCGGGGGUAGAGCACUGUUUCGGCUAGGGGGUCGAUCCCGACCUUACCAACCCGAUGCAAACUGCGAAUACCGAAGAAUGUUAUCACGGGAGACACACGGCGGGUGCUAACGUCCGUCGUGAAGAGGGAAACAACCCAGACCGCCAGCUAAGGUCCCAAAGUCACAGUUAUGUGGGAAACGAUGUGGGAAGGCACAGACAGCCAGGAUGUUGGCUUAGAAGCAGCCAUCAUUUAAAGAAAGCGUAAUAGCUCACUGGUCGAGUCGGCCUGCGCGGAAGAUGUAACGGGGCUAAACUGUGCACCGAAGCUGCGGCAGCGACACUAUGUGUUGUUGGGUAGGGGAGCGUUCUGUAAGCCGUUGAAGGUGUGUCGUGAGGCAUGCUGGAGGUAUCAGAAGUGCGAAUGCUGACAUAAGUAACGAUAAUGCGGGUGAAAAACCCGCACGCCGGAAGACCAAGGGUUCCUGUCCAACGUUAAUCGGGGCAGGGUGAGUCGACCCCUAAGGCGAGGCCGAAAGGCGUAGUCGAUGGGAAACAGGUUAAUAUUCCUGUACUUGGUGUUACUGCGAAGGGGGACGGAGAAGGCUAUGUUAGCCGGGCGACGGUUGUCCCGGUUUAAGCAUGUAGGCGGAGGUUCCAGGUAAAUCCGGUACCUUUUUAACGCUGAGGUGUGAUGACGAGGCACUACGGUGCUGAAGUAGCAAAUGCCCUGCUUCCAGGAAAAGCCUCUAAGCAUCAGGUAACACCAAAUCGUACCCCAAACCGACACAGGUGGUCAGGUAGAGAAUACCAAGGCGCUUGAGAGAACUCGGGUGAAGGAACUAGGCAAAAUGGUGCCGUAACUUCGGGAGAAGGCACGCUGAUAUGUAGGUGAAGUGAUUUACUCAUGGAGCUGAAAUCAGUCGAAGAUACCAGCUGGCUGCAACUGUUUAUUAAAAACACAGCACUGUGCAAACACGAAAGUGGACGUAUACGGUGUGACGCCUGCCCGGUGCCGGAAGGUUAAUUGAUGGGGUUAUCCGUAAGGAGAAGCUCUUGAUCGAAGCCCCGGUAAACGGCGGCCGUAACUAUAACGGUCCUAAGGUAGCGAAAUUCCUUGUCGGGUAAGUUCCGACCUGCACGAAUGGCGUAAUGAUGGCCAGGCUGUCUCCACCCGAGACUCAGUGAAAUUGAACUCGCUGUGAAGAUGCAGUGUACCCGCGGCAAGACGGAAAGACCCCGUGAACCUUUACUAUAGCUUGACACUGAACACUGGUCCUUGAUGUGUAGGAUAGGUGGGAGGCUUUGAAGUGUGGACGCCAGUCUGCAUGGAGCCAACCUUGAAAUACCACCCUUUAAUGGCUGGUGUUCUAACGUGGGCCCGUAAUCCGGGUUGCGG